CACUGCACUCCAGCCUGACAUU
Molecule: microRNA, 22 nt
Filed under: Hyalella azteca
Lineage: Eukaryota; Metazoa; Arthropoda; Malacostraca; Amphipoda; Hyalellidae
Description: miR-1273g
Source: RNAcentral